RNAcentral lists this ribosomal RNA (590 nucleotides) under Alcaligenes sp. RNAcentral describes it as "bacterial SSU rRNA". It matches the Rfam family "Bacterial small subunit ribosomal RNA", at positions 67 to 646 of the family's 1533-position model. The record is from RNAcentral. Lineage: Bacteria; Pseudomonadati; Pseudomonadota; Betaproteobacteria; Burkholderiales; Alcaligenaceae.
CGGCAGCACGAGAGAGCUUGCUCUCUUGGUGGCGAGUGGCGGACGGGUGAGUAAUAUAUCGGAACGUGCCCAGUAGCGGGGGAUAACUACUCGAAAGAGUGGCUAAUACCGCAUACGCCCUACGGGGGAAAGGGGGGGAUCGCAAGACCUCUCACUAUUGGAGCGGCCGAUAUCGGAUUAGCUAGUUGGUGGGGUAAAGGCUCACCAAGGCAACGAUCCGUAGCUGGUUUGAGAGGACGACCAGCCACACUGGGACUGAGACACGGCCCAGACUCCUACGGGAGGCAGCAGUGGGGAAUUUUGGACAAUGGGGGAAACCCUGAUCCAGCCAUCCCGCGUGUAUGAUGAAGGCCUUCGGGUUGUAAAGUACUUUUGGCAGAGAAGAAAAGGCAUCCCCUAAUACGGGAUGCUGCUGACGGUAUCUGCAGAAUAAGCACCGGCUAACUACGUGCCAGCAGCCGCGGUAAUACGUAGGGUGCAAGCGUUAAUCGGAAUUACUGGGCGUAAAGCGUGUGUAGGCGGUUCGGAAAGAAAGAUGUGAAAUCCCAGGGCUCAACCUUGGAACUGCAUUUUUAACUGCCGAGCUAGAG